CCUACGGGAGGCAGCAGUGAGGAAUAUUGGUCAAUGUGCGAGAGCCUGAACCAGCCAAGUCGCGUGAAGGAUGACGGCCCUACGGGUUGUAAACUUCUUUUGUCAGGGAGCAAUUGGGUCCACGCGUGGGCUUAGCGAGAGUACCUGAAGAAAAAGCAUCGGCUAACUCCGUGCCAGCAGCCUCGGUAAUACGGAGGAUGCGAGCGUUAUCCGGAUUUAUUUGGUUUAAAGGGUGCGUAGGCGGAAUAUCAAGUCAGCGGUAAAAAUUCGGGGCUCAACCCCGUCGUGCCGUUGAAAUGGAUGUGAUGGAGUGGGAGAGAAGGAUGCGGAAUGAGGGGUGUAGCGGGGAAAUGCAUAGAUAUCACGAAGAACUCCGAUUGCGAAGGCAGCAUACCGGCGCCCAACUGAAGCUGAAGCACGAAAGCGUGGGUAUCGAACAGGAUUAGAUACCCUAGUAGUC
RNAcentral lists this ribosomal RNA (460 nucleotides) under uncultured bacterium. Its description in RNAcentral is "partial 16S ribosomal RNA". It matches the Rfam family "Bacterial small subunit ribosomal RNA", at positions 338 to 795 of the family's 1533-position model. The record is from RNAcentral.